RNAcentral lists this ribosomal RNA (468 nucleotides) under uncultured bacterium. Its description in RNAcentral is "partial 16S ribosomal RNA". It matches the Rfam family "Bacterial small subunit ribosomal RNA", at positions 28 to 507 of the family's 1533-position model. The record is from RNAcentral.
GACGAACGCUGGCGGCGUGCUUAACACAUGCAAGUCGAACGGAAAGGCGCUGCUUUUGUGGGGUGCUCGAGUGGGGAACGGGUGAGUAACACGGGAGUAACCUGCCCUGGACUUUGGGAUAACUUCAGGAAACUGGGGCUAAUACCGGAUAGGAGCUCCUGCUGCAGGGGGGGGGUUGGAAAGUUUCGGCGGUUGGGGGUGGAGUCUGGGCUAGUCAGCUUGUUGGGGGGGUAGUGGCGUAGCAAGGCUUUGGUGGGUGGCCGGCCUGGGAGGGUGACCGGGCACAUUGGUCCUGCGGGACGGCCCAGACUCCUACGUGAGGCAGCAGUGGGGAAUAUUGCCCAAUGGGCCGAAGCCUGAGACAGAAACCUUGCGUGCGGAAUGCAGGUCUUCUGGUUGUAAACCGCAUUCGCCUGUGACGAAGCGUGAGUGACGGUACUGGGUAAAGAAGCACCGGCUAACUACGUG